RNAcentral lists this ribosomal RNA (431 nucleotides) under uncultured bacterium. Its description in RNAcentral is "partial 16S ribosomal RNA". It matches the Rfam family "Bacterial small subunit ribosomal RNA", at positions 29 to 507 of the family's 1533-position model. The record is from RNAcentral.
AACGAACGCUGGCGGCAGGCUUAACACAUGCAAGUCGAACGCCCCGCAAGGGGAGUGGCAGACGGGUGAGUAACGCGUGGGAACAUACCCUUUUCUACGGAAUAGCUCUGGGAAACUGGAAUUAAUACCGUAUACGCCCUACGGGGGAAAGAUUUAUCGGGGAAGGAUUGGCCCGCGUUGGAUUAGCUAGUUGGCGGGGUAAAGGCCUACCAAGGCGACGAUCCAUAGCUGGUCUGAGAGGAUGAUCAGCCACAUUGGGACUGAGACACGGCCCAAACUCCUACGGGAGGCAGCAGUGGGGAAUAUUGGACAAUGGGCGCAAGCCUGAUCCAGCCAUGCCGCGUGAGUGAUGAAGGCCUUAGGGUUGUAAAGCUCUUUCACCGAUGAAGAUAAUGACGGUAGUCGGAGAAGAAGCCCCGGCUAACUUCGUG